Molecule: ribosomal RNA, 254 nt
Filed under: uncultured bacterium
Lineage: Bacteria
Description: partial 16S ribosomal RNA
Rfam family: Bacterial small subunit ribosomal RNA
Source: RNAcentral
UACGUAGGGUGCAAGCGUUGCCCGGAUUUAUUGGGCGUAAAGGGCGCGUAGGCGGCUCUGCACGUUCGUUGUGAAAUCGCCCGGCUCAACUGGGCGGGGUCAGCGGAUACGGCAGAGCUUGAGCAAGCUAGGGGGCAAUGGAAUUCCCGGUGUAGUGGUGGAAUGCGUAGAUAUCGGGAGGAACACCGGUGGCGAAGGCGGCGAUCUGGGUCGAUACUGACGCUGAGGUGCGAAAGCGUGGGGAGCAAACAGGG